RNAcentral lists this transfer RNA (70 nucleotides) under Neotoma lepida (desert woodrat). It matches the Rfam family "tRNA". From Rfam's summary of the family: Transfer RNA (tRNA) molecules are approximately 80 nucleotides in length. Their secondary structure includes four short double-helical elements and three loops (D, anti-codon, and T loops). Lineage: Eukaryota; Metazoa; Chordata; Mammalia; Rodentia; Cricetidae. The record is from Rfam by way of RNAcentral.
GGUGACAUAGCUCAGUUGGUAGAGUACUUGCCUAACACACAUGAAGCUCUAGGUUUCAUCCCUAGCACCA